This 564-nucleotide ribosomal RNA is filed under the name uncultured bacterium. RNAcentral's name for it is "bacterial SSU rRNA". It matches the Rfam family "Bacterial small subunit ribosomal RNA", at positions 8 to 572 of the family's 1533-position model. The record is from RNAcentral.
AGAGUUUGAUUAUGGCUCAGGAUGAACGCUGGCGGCGUGCCUAACACAUGCAAGUCGAGCGAAGCACUUUGAUUGGAUUCUUCGGAUGAAGAUGAUUGUGACUGAGCGGCGGACGGGUGAGUAACGCGUGGGCAACCUGCCUUACACAGGGGGAUAACAGUUAGAAAUGACUGCUAAUACCGCAUAAGACCGCGGAACCGCAUGGUUCUGAGGUAAAAACUCCGGUGGUGUAAGAUGGGCCCGCGUCUGAUUAGGUAGUUGGUGAGGUAACGGCUCACCAAGCCGACGAUCAGUAGCCGACCUGAGAGGGUGACCGGCCACAUUGGGACUGAGACACGGCCCAGACUCCUACGGGAGGCAGCAGUGGGGAAUAUUGCACAAUGGGGGAAACCCUGAUGCAGCGACGCCGCGUGAGCGAUGAAGUAUUUCGGUAUGUAAAGCUCUAUCAGCAGGGAAGAAAAUGACGGUACCUGACUAAGAAGCCCCGGCUAACUACGUGCCAGCAGCCGCGGUAAUACGUAGGGGGCAAGCGUUAUCCGGAUUUACUGGGUGUAAAGGGAGCGU